This 762-nucleotide non-coding RNA is filed under the name Paulinia acuminata. The record is from RNAcentral. Lineage: Eukaryota; Metazoa; Arthropoda; Insecta; Orthoptera; Acrididae.
UUGCUAAAGACAGGUAUUAUAUGUAAGUUUUGUUAUACUAGAUGUUCUUCAAUGCAGUAAUUUAAUUUUAUUAUCAGUAUUAUAUUGGAAUUAGUAAUUGAUUUAGUAUUGGCAUAUUUCGUGCCAGCAGCCGCGGUUAUACGAUUAAUGCAUGUAAAUACUUAUAGUUAAAGCUGAUAUUUUUAUUUAAGAAUUAAUUUUUGAAUAUUUUAGGUGAAAUUUUAUUUUUAUUAAUAAUUCCUUUUAAGAUUCUGUAAAACUUAAAAUAUAAACUAGGAUUMGAUACCCUAUUAUAUGAAGUGUAARUUUUAUUUACCUGGGUAGUAUUAGUUAUGUUCUUUAAACCCAAAGAAUUUGGCGGUAUCUUAUUCCAUUCAGAGGAACCUAUUCCGUAAUUGAUAAUGCACGAUUAACUUUACUUAAUUUAUUGGUUUGUAUAUCUCCGUUAUCAGAAUAUCUUUUUAGAGAUUUAAUUUUCUUAAUUUAUAAUUAUAAAAUAUUUCAGGUCAAGGUGCAGCUUAUAAUUAAGUUGAGGAUGGGUUACAAUAAAUUUUUGUUUAUAAUGGAUUUAAUGUUGAAAUUUACAUUAAUAAAGGUGGAUUUGAUGGUAAUUUAAUUUAUUUAAUUUAAUUGAUAUUGGCUCUAAGAUGUGUACACAUCGCCCGUCGCUCUCAUUAUUUAAAGAGGAAAAUUUUUAUUUUAAUUUAAAUGAGAUAAGUCGUAACAUAGUAGAUGUACUGGAAAGUGUAUCUAGAAAGAUAU